Peromyscus maniculatus bairdii (prairie deer mouse) is the source of this 72-nucleotide small nucleolar RNA. Ensembl annotates it as predicted gene, 23600. The record is from Ensembl. Lineage: Eukaryota; Metazoa; Chordata; Mammalia; Rodentia; Cricetidae.
UGGAUCAGUGAUGACCACUGAUGAUGAUUGAUCCGUGGAGCAUGACUACAGGUCUGAGUGUCUGAGCUUCAC